GUGACAACCUGAUCCCCCAAAUAAAAGAUAAAGAAGACCCUCAAGAGAUGCCCCACUCUCCCUUGGGCUCUAUGCCAGAGAUAAGAGAUAAUUCUCCAGAACCAAAUGACCCAGAAGAGCCCCAGGAGGUGCCCAGCACACCUUCAAACAAGAAAGGAAAGAAAAGAAAAAGAUGUAUCUGGUCAACUCCAAAAAGGAGACAUAAGAAAAAAAGCCUCCCAAGAGGGACAGCCUCGCCUAGACAUGGAAUCCAAAAGAAGCUCAAAAGGGUGGAUCAGGUUCCUCAAAAGAAAGAUGACUCAACUUGGAACUCCACGGUAGUGACAAGGGCCCAAAAGACGAGAACUGAAUGUGUCCGAAAGUCCAGAUCAGAGGAGAUCAUUGAUGGCACUUCAGAAAUGAAUGAAGGAAAGAGGUCCCAGAAGACGCCUAGCACACCACGAAGGGACACACAAGGUAAAACUUGGAGAUCGCUGGUCUCAGAGUACAGUCACCAGGAAUCUAAAUUCAGAGCUGUUUUACACUAAGGCAAUAUUUCUUAACUUUUCUUUUUCAUUAUCACUGUGCUAGAGAGCCCUUCUGGAUUUUUUUUCUUAAUCAAGACCCUUCCCAUAUUUACUACUACAAAUAUAUGUCCAUUUUAUGUAAUGUGUCCAUAUGUAUGUAUGUAUAUCUGCGCUUUAUAAGAUUUUUCUCAGCACUCAAGAAUGAGUUUUUCCACUACUGGCAGCAAUAUCACCGUUACUGAGAAUGAGUAUCCUAAGUAUAUUCAUGGUACUGUACUGAAAGUACAGCUUGUCCAAAGUACAGCUUGAUCCAACCCAUGGAUCAAGCUUUUUCCUAGGAUUCCUAUCUCCAUGUUUCUCAUG
This 869-nucleotide small RNA is filed under the name Pongo abelii (Sumatran orangutan). Its description in RNAcentral is "retained intron". The record is from RNAcentral. Lineage: Eukaryota; Metazoa; Chordata; Mammalia; Primates; Hominidae.